UGAUGUGAUGCAUUUCAUGAAAGCAUGAAUUUUAAUAUAAUGUUUUACUAUUCUGCUCACUGGGCUCUAGUAGCUCACUCCUUUCCCUUAACCCCCAGGUUUGCAGGUGCGGGCUAGACCAGGAAGUCACCAGGAUUAGAAGUUUAUGUAUGUAAUAGAUUAGUUGUGGACAUGAAAGACAAUGUAAUGUAAUGUAAUGUAAAGUAUUGUGUAAUGAUAUAUAUUGAGGUUUAGUAUUGUGCUUGACCCUAAUAUGUAUAGUUAAUCCCUUUGCACAUGAUCUAUGAAAUGUUUUUAUGAUGUUUUAUGUAAACCAAGCUUAGUAUAUGUUAUGUUACCCCAUUGAAGCAUUUGAUGAGGGCUCCAGUGUGGGGUUUAUGUUCAUAAGUAUGAGUAUG
Molecule: long non-coding RNA, 398 nt
Filed under: Manihot esculenta (cassava)
Lineage: Eukaryota; Viridiplantae; Streptophyta; Magnoliopsida; Malpighiales; Euphorbiaceae
Description: long non-coding RNA (MESC_LNC001737)
Source: RNAcentral